AGGCUCCACUUAGCAAAAAUAUUGGGUUACUUUCGAUUAGCAAUAAGGGUUGUUUUACUUACGCGAUAGCAAAAUUGUUAUUUUGCUUGAUUUUGGUAAAAACGCAGCCUAGUUAGCCGCUUCGUUCGAAAAGCAGCCGCCGUUUUCGAGAAAAAAAAGUUCGACGCGAAUCAGUGCGGUUGAGUAAAUUAGAUGCUGGCGGAACCUGUGGAGACUGGGCUGACAAUAACGACGGAAUGGAAGCCCGGUCAACAUUGCUGCAUGUGAUGGACAAUUGGAUGCGGAAAUGGUGGAUAAAUUCACAUCGGGAGCGGACAGGUUGCUGCUGCCGGCGAUAACAGACAGCAUUGCCAUCAGGAUGAUCGACAAGAAGGAAGCCAAUCUGGACGCAUCGGUUUUCCGCUUGGCGGAUGGUCAGCUACCACGGCCAAGUGCGGUUUUGUUUUUUAGUAAAGAAAGUGUUAAUUGAAAUUAAAAAAAAGGUGUCAAAUAAAUUAAGUGAAAAAGUA
Uranotaenia lowii is the source of this 509-nucleotide long non-coding RNA. RefSeq lists it as uncharacterized. The transcript is spliced from 2 exons. NCBI's taxonomy places the organism in Eukaryota, Metazoa, Arthropoda, Insecta, Diptera, Culicidae. The record is from RefSeq and is a predicted model, not a curated record.